AUUGAAAUUAUCUGGUUUACUUAAAAUGCAGUAAUAUGUACGUUUUUCUCCUGGGCCCCCAAACCUCAAAGACCUCAUUCUGGAAAGAACCUAGUUAACAAUAUGUGGUCUAAGUGGCCAUAACCACAAAGUGCCUAUUUGGCAGAAAACUCAUAAGCAGGUAGUCCUAUCUUGAGAAUCUAAUUCCACAUGCCUAACAGCAUACCCAAGAUCACUAUUACCUCCUACCCCUUCCAAAAUAACAACGUUCUCACCUCCCGAUCUGGAGUCUGGGUCCAAAUGAGAAAGCAUUGGCAAGCGUUUCCACGCAGGGAUAAGCACCCCCACGUCUUUCCAGCUUAGCUCUCCAAGCAGCUCUGGCAGUUAUCUCACUAGAAACCUUGGACUCAGACUCCGACCACGCCCACUCCUCCCGGUCCACCCAUGAUCCCAAAUCCCAUUGGUCACCCGCAUCAGGGUAGCCAUGCAACUCCCGCCCCCGCUCCGUAAUUGGUGAGGGUAAUUGCCGCUCCCAGUACGGCGGAGCUGGGCUCUCUCUCGGUCCACCGGCACCACCUGUUGCCCUUAAGUUAGAAAAGGCGGCGUUCUCGGAGGGAGCCAAGCAGCCGCUGCAGGUGAAGGGGAGCCUCCGGCGGUCAGGUAGCCGCCAGGCUGCCGGCUCCGUUCGGCCCGGCGCACCUGCAGCGCAGCCAGGGCGCCAAGCUGAGGCUCUCACAUCCGGGGCCCGCAGUCACCGCCAACGCGUUAACCCUUUGUCCGCAGGCCCGAGGGUGCCGGCUGUGACCGCGCGGGCCCCUAAGGUGCUAGAGAUUAGACCUGGCGCGCCCGCUAGGCUGGCUUAGCUGGGGGUAGCAGCUCAACUACUUCCUCCUGACUUCCAGCAGCUGUUCUGGUUUCUUUCCCAGCAUUCAUACUCCUCCGUGAAAGACUGUGAGGUGAGCAGUCAGGUAAAUACAUGCUUAACCAUUAGAGAAACUAAGAUCAAAAAGCAAUGAAGUGGUUCACCUAGUAUAUCUGGCCCUGUAAUAACAGUGGAGCCA
This 1040-nucleotide long non-coding RNA is filed under the name Piliocolobus tephrosceles (Ugandan red Colobus). Its description in RNAcentral is "lncRNA (ENSPTEG00000034442.1)". The record is from RNAcentral. Lineage: Eukaryota; Metazoa; Chordata; Mammalia; Primates; Cercopithecidae.